Molecule: ribosomal RNA, 360 nt
Filed under: uncultured bacterium
Lineage: Bacteria
Description: bacterial SSU rRNA
Rfam family: Bacterial small subunit ribosomal RNA
Source: RNAcentral
GUAGGGAAUCUUCGGCAAUGGGGGGAACCCUGACCGAGCAACGCCGCGUGAGUGAAGAAGGUUUUCGGAUCGUAAAGCUCUGUUGUUAAGGAAGAACGAGUGUGAGAAUGGAAAGUUCAUACUGUGACGGUACUUAACCAUAAAGGGACGGCUAACUACGUGCCAGCAGCCGCGGUAAUACGUAGGUCCCGAGCGUUGUCCGGAUUUAUUGGGCGUAAAGCGAGCGCAGGCGGUUAGAAAAGUCUGAAGUGAAAGGCAGUGGCUCAACCAUUGUAGGCUUUGGAAACUGUUUAACUUGAGUGCAGAAGGGGAGAGUGGAAUUCCAUGUGUAGCGGUGAAAUGCGUAUAUAUAUGGAGGAA